This 629-nucleotide ribosomal RNA is filed under the name uncultured bacterium. Its description in RNAcentral is "bacterial SSU rRNA". It matches the Rfam family "Bacterial small subunit ribosomal RNA", at positions 1 to 661 of the family's 1533-position model. The record is from RNAcentral.
UGGUGCGAACAAAGAUUCGAUUGAGUUUGAUUCUCGCUCAGAACGAACGCUGGCGGCAGGCUUAAUACAUGCAAGUCGAACGGCUGUAGCACCCAGCAGUGGCAGACGGGUGAGUAACACGUGGGAACCUACCUGGGGGUGCGGAAUAACUCAGGGAAACUUGUGCUAAUACCGUAUACGACCUCAGGGUGAAAGAUUUAUCGCCCCUAGAUGGGCCCGCGCUGGAUUAGCUAGUUGGUGGGGUAAAAGCCUACCAAGGCGACGAUCCAUAGCUGGUCUGAGAGGAUGAUCAGCCACACUGGGACUGAGACACGGCCCAGACUCCUACGGGAGGCAGCAGUAGGGAAUCUUGGACAAUGGGCGAAAGCCUGAUCCAGCCAUGCCGCGUGAGUGAUGAAGGCCUUAGGGUUGUAAAGCUCUUUUACCCGGGAUGAUAAUGACAGUACCGGGAGAAUAAGCCCCGGCUAACUCCGUGCCAGCAGCCGCGGUAAUACGGAGGGGGCUAGCGUUGUUCGGAAUUACUGGGCGUAAAGCGCACGUAGGCGGCGAUUUAAGUCAGAGGUGAAAGCCCGGGGCUCAACCCCGGGAUAGCCUUUGAGACUGGAUUGCUUGAACAUCGGAGAGGUGAG